This 428-nucleotide ribosomal RNA is filed under the name Bacteroidota bacterium. RNAcentral describes it as "Bacteroidetes bacterium partial 16S ribosomal RNA". It matches the Rfam family "Bacterial small subunit ribosomal RNA", at positions 355 to 776 of the family's 1533-position model. The record is from RNAcentral. Lineage: Bacteria; Pseudomonadati; Bacteroidota.
UAGGGAAUCUUCCGCAAUGGACGCAAGUCUGACGGAGCAACGCCGCGUGAGUGAAGAAGGAUUUCGGUUCGUAAAACUCUGUUGUUAGAGAAGAACAGCGCAUAGAGUAACUGUUAUGCGUGUGACGGUAUCUAACCAGAAAGCCACGGCUAACUACGUGCCAGCAGCCGCGGUAAUACGUAGGUCCCGAGCGUUGUCCGGAUUUAUUGGGCGUAAAGCGAGCGCAGGCGGUUAGAAAAGUCUGAAGUGAAAGGCAGUGGCUCAACCAUAGUAGGCUUUGGAAACUGUUUAACUUGGGUGCAGAAGGGGAGAGUGGAAUUCCAUGUGUAGCGGUGAAAUGCGUAGAUAUAUGGAGGAACACCGGUGGCGAAAGCGGCUCUCUGGUCUGAAACUGACGCUGAGGCUCGAAAGCGUGGGGAGCGAACAGG